This 468-nucleotide ribosomal RNA is filed under the name uncultured bacterium. RNAcentral describes it as "partial 16S ribosomal RNA". It matches the Rfam family "Bacterial small subunit ribosomal RNA", at positions 28 to 507 of the family's 1533-position model. The record is from RNAcentral.
GACGAACGCUGGCGGCGUGCUUAACACAUGCAAGUCGAACGGAAAGGCCCUGCUUCUGUGGGGUGCUCGAGUGGCGAACGGGUGGGUAACACGUGAGUAACCUGCCCUUGACUUUGGGAUAACUUCAGGAAACUGGGGCUAAUACCGGAUAGGAGCUCCUGCUGCAUGGUGGGGGUUGGAAAGUUUCGGCGGUUGGGGAUGGACUCGCGGCUUAUCAGCUUGUUGGUGGGGUAGUGGCUUACCAAGGCUUUGACGGGUAGCCGGCCUGAGAGGGUGACCGGCCACAUUGGGACUGAGAUACGGCCCAGACUCCUACGGGAGGCAGCAGUGGGGAAUAUUGCACAAUGGGCGGAAGCCUGAUGCAGCAACGCCGCGUGCGGGAUGACGGCCUUCGGGUUGUAAACCGCUUUCGCCUGUGACGAAGCGUGAGUGACGGUAAUGGGUAAAGAAGCACCGGCUAACUACGUG